RNAcentral lists this ribosomal RNA (133 nucleotides) under uncultured Tomentella. Its description in RNAcentral is "partial 28S ribosomal RNA". It matches the Rfam family "Eukaryotic large subunit ribosomal RNA", at positions 1 to 132 of the family's 3401-position model. Lineage: Eukaryota; Fungi; Basidiomycota; Agaricomycetes; Thelephorales; Thelephoraceae. The record is from RNAcentral.
UUGAUCUCAAAUCAGGUAGGACUACCCGCUGAACUUAAGCAUAUCAAUAAGCGGAGGAAAAGAAACUAACAAGGAUUCCCCUAGUAACUGCGAGUGAAGCGGGAAGAGCUCAAAUUUAAAAUUCUGGCGUGCG